GGUAAGUUUGUUAAAUUUCACAAUGAACACUUGUGUUUUGACAAAAGAAGAGAUAAAGUGAGUUUUGUCAUCAUCAUGGUUUCUUUCAGAGUAUAACUCGUGAACAGAUGAAAACCUAUUUUUUGCUAGAUUUUCAUGUACUCUUUUUUUGGAUGAUAAGUAUGUCAGUAACUCAAAAUCAUACGGCUAGUACAGUAUGGAACAUGAAUGCUUUGUUCAGAUUUUCAGAUGUGUGCUGGCAGUUUAAGUCUGGCAGCUGAAGUGAACAGUCGUGUUUUCUGGAGCUCCAACAAUAUGCUAGAAGGAGUGCUUAUCCAGUGAUGAUAUGACAGUUGGAGUGAACAGUGGAGCCAAGCAGUCUUGUUUUUGGAGCUACUCAACAAGCCUUGAAGAUGCUGAUGGCAGUGAUGGGUUUUCAAGCUGACCUGAACAGAAAAGCACUCAUAUGGUAAGUACAAAAUAGUUGUUAUAUGGGAUGUUUUGUGCAUGCUUUUAUGUUUCAGGUGUACUUGCUGACAGCGACGAAGACGAAUCAAGAAGAGGAACAUUGUUGAGAAAGUGAUUGGGACUUGCAAACAGGAUUCGAGUCACUGGUUUACACAUGGAAGAAGAUUUCCACGUCUGUUACUCAACUCUACAGAAGCAAGGUAAGUCGAUCAAAUUUUUGUUUUCAUUUGUACUGCUGUAAUGUGAUGGUAAACUUAUGCUAUUUUUCAUGUGUGUCAUGUACAGAUGGAUAAUUCAAGUUUGAUCUGUGUUGGUUUAUGUUCAAAAACGUUUUACAUGUAUGUGUGUUUGAAGAUGUUUUGUUUCAGUGGAUGUCCAGAUGGCAAGCAGUACAGACGUGUUUCUUGGAGCUGCCAAACAGUGAGUACAAACGUUUUAUAUUUUUCAGUUGUUUACUCAUAGAAGUCUGUGAAAGAUGAUAACAAGGGUUGAAUCUAUCAGCACUUGUGUCUAAAAAUGCUGAUGUGUGACGGUUUACUGAAAAGGGUAAAUGCUAGCCAGUACUUACACUUGAGCAACCGUGGGAUGUCGAACUAACUGAUGAUGUACUAUGAUGGUGAACACUUACUAUGUGUAUCAAAAUGCUUUUGUUGAUAUUUACUAUAGAUGAUUUGAUAUUGGUUAACAUUUGUUUGCAUGCUGUUAACAUUUCUAUUUCAUUUCAGUGAGCUGUGGUGAGUAUUGUAGUAUACAUUUGUUUCAAUAAAUCAUGGUGAUUGUUUUUUACAGUUUUAGGGAUUAUCACUCUAUAACAACUCUGUCGGUUGGUGUUCAUGAGUCUGAGCCUAAUACCGCAAUGUUUGAGUAGUACAAAAAUGUUUUCGCUUUUGUGGUCGCCAGCUGUCCGUGAUCUGUAAAGUGAAAAAUACACAGAGCUAUGAAGCAUACAAUUGUUUCGAAAUUUUAUCAAUGAUUGUAUACUAUGCAUGUUUUGAUUUAGUUCGUUUCAGAUAUGACAUGACAUGAAGAGUUGACAGUCGAACAGAGCUGAGCAAUGCAGAAAGGUAAGUGUGUUUCAUUUUAGUAUGAACACUUGUAUUUUGUUUUUAUAUGGUAUGUUUUGUGCAUGCUAUGUUUCAGGUGUACUUGUAGUCAGCGACGAAGACGAUUCAAGAAGAGGAACAUUGCUGAGAAAGUGAAUGGGACUUGCAAACAGGGUAAGUGUUACAAUUGUUUGUUUGAUUUUUACCAUGCAUACUUUGCUUUGCUCUGUUUCAGAUUUCACAUGCAGAAAUGGUCUCAUAGCAGUGCCAACAGUGAAUAAGGAUUUCAGCUGCUGUGAAACAACUCAACAGAAAGUAGGUAAGCAUUGAAUGAAUGCACUUGAGUUGUACAAUUUGAUGUGAUGCUUUUCUCUGUUUCAGAUUCAAGUUCCUGGUGUAGACAGAGAAAUGUGUUUGAAGAAGGAAUUCUACUACUGUGAUUCAACUCUACAGAAGCAAGGUAAGUAGAAACACAAUUUUGGUUUAAUUUAACUCAUGUGUUUUGCACUGCAUGCUAUUUUUCAGGUCUCUCAUGCAGUGAUGCAAAAGAAGAAGAUUUCAAGAAAGAAUCACUGCUGCAACUCAGGCCUAUAACAAGGUAAGUGUUUACUAUAUUGUAUACAAAAUGUUUCUCUGUUUUACUCUGUUUGAAGGUUUCAAUUGCAGAGAUGUUGCAGAGAUGUUUUGACAGCUUGUGACAGAAAAGAAAUUCAGCAGCUGUGUAUCGACUGUAGCCACGAGGUAAGUCAAAACAAAUAUACUGGUUUGUAUGUUAUGUUGUUAUGCCCUUCUAUGUUUCAGACUUACAUUGCUGUGACUGUUCCACAGUGGGUCAAAAAAGAGACGAAUACAGGUUUCAAGAAGAAAAUUGGCUGUUGAAAACCUGCACAAAAUAUGAGUAUCCUGUGGUAAGUACACUAACUUUCUAUAAUUUCAUAUUGAAAUGUUUUGAUGACUUGUAUACUACUAUGCAAUGCUUAAUGUUUUUUUUCAUUUCAGUAGCCUAUUGGUAAGUACACUAACUUUCUAUAAUUUCAUAGUGAACUGUUUUGAUGACCUGUAUUCUGCAUUGUAAAAUGUGUUUCUUUUUCAUUUCAGUAUGGCUGUGGUAAGUACACUAACUUUCUAUAAUUUCAUAUUGAACUGUUUUGAUGACUUGUAUUCUGCAUUGUAAAAUGUCUGUUUUUCAUUUCAGUAUCCUGUGGUAAGUAUACUAACUUUCUAUAAUUUCAUAUUGAACUGUUUCGAUGAUUUGUAUACUGCUAUGCAUUGCUAAAUGUUUUUUUCAUUUCAGUAUAGCUGUGGUAAGUACACUAACUUUCUUUAAUUUUCAUAUUGAACUGUUUUGAUGACUUGUAUUCUGCUAUACAAAAUGUGCUUUUUUCAAUUUCAGGUCAGCAAUGGUAAGUAUAGUGUGUUUCUUUAUGUAUAAUUUUGUAUACAUAUUGUUUUUUUUCAUCAUAUCAUGUCUUUCAUAUUUAUGCUUUGUGUAAGUAAAAUGUUCAUAAAUCAUUCUUAUCUUCAAACUAAAAAUGUAUUGUGCUAUGCAAAAUGUCUGUAUGAUUUCAGUUGCCAGAGGUGAGUACCAUAACAGUUGAAAAGUUAGUUUUGUUUAGUUAAAGUUUUGGUUCACAGUUUUGUUUGUUAUUUGGCAAAAUUUACAUGUAUGCAUUGAGUCUUGAUUUCAGCUAGAUUGUGGACUGAAGAAGAUUGCCAGCAGAGGGAUUGGAUACAAGAUACAAACUUUACUGCUUGACGAGUGUUAUCAACUACUAGACGAGUCAGCUUUACUACCAGGCGAGCAGUGACAACAAGGCGCCUUUGUGGAAACAACACAACAAAAAACUCUACUGCAAGACGAGCAGUGACAGCAAGGCGCCUGAACAUGCAACACAAUACAAAAAAUGCCAAUUUGCAAACCUUGAUGUGGACACCGAGUAGUCAAUACAUACGUGUGGCGUAUAGCUGCGACAAAACCGUGGGUCCAUCGCACCGAUAACUUGAACAUUGGCCCGUGUAUGGACAUCAGUGCAACUUUGUGAAUCCAUGUAUCUUUGUGAAUCCAUGUAACAUUGCGAAUGUGUGUCGAUCGAAAAAUGUGUACAUUCUGAACUGAAACGAACUCGGUGUUGCAAGUGGCAAGUGUUGACAGUGUGUAUGUUUAUGUUUAUGUUUUUACAUGAAAACUAAAGGAGAUUGUUCUCCUACCUUUUUUUUCCUUGUUUUAUUGCGCUGGCCAGCAAUAUUGAUGUAUUGAUGUAUGUGUUUGUGUUUAAACUAUGCAAUACCAAAAUCAAACAAAAAAUAAACAUUAACAGUCAUUAACUGUG
Long non-coding RNA from Dreissena polymorpha, 3820 nucleotides. RefSeq lists it as uncharacterized. NCBI's taxonomy places the organism in Eukaryota, Metazoa, Mollusca, Bivalvia, Myida, Dreissenidae. The record is from RefSeq and is a predicted model, not a curated record. The transcript has 8 exons.